UCCGCUCGCCGCCUCAGCGGCGCCGCAACCCUGCAGCGGAACGACCGGCGUUGCCGAGAGGCGCCGACAUCUUACUCAAGGGAGGAAGGAGCAGGGAGGCCCCCCCUCCCAGCUGCCCUUCUCUAAGAUGGCCGCCGGCCUGCCCCUGCUGAGGGGGCGGUCCUAAGAUGGCUGCGCCCACGGCGCGCUCACCAACAUGGCUGCCCCCGUGUGUACGGUGCGCAAGAUGGCGGUUCCGUCCCCUACGUUCCCCCCGGCUAGAUGCGAGAUGGCCGACUGAGUCGAGAGCGCAGGGUCAGGCCACGCUGCAGCUGCCUCCAGGGCGAUGGGACUGAGAGCGUCAAAGAGUUUGAUAGUUCCCUGGGAGGUCCCUGAGGUCUGAUGAAGUGAAGCAUCAAGAAAACAGUGGGAGCAGUAGAGAGCACUGCUGCUGACAUGAUGCUCUUCGGAGGGAAUGGAGCUAUUUCCUUGUUUUGAAGCAAAAGUGCCACUCGCAGUCCAUAUUCUAUUGAUAGCCACAGAUAAAUAUGUCAUCUCUCAGUCCUGGAUGUGCAGAAACACCUUGAAAAACCCGUCAGCUGCACUAAAGGAAAUGUUUCUUGCCAUGGGAAUGAGGGCACAUCCCUUUCAACUAACUUAGGGAAAACAAGUUUGACUCUUUUGUAAGAAUGAGCUCGUAGUUUCACCUGCACCCCUUGUUUUCCAAAAGUAGCUGAACAUCUCUUUUAGGUUGUUCCAAAUAAGAAGCAGCAAUAAUAGCAACUUUUUUUUUUUUAAAAAAAAACAAACAAACAAAUGUGUGUUUUGCCUGUACAGUGAAAGGCAAAAUGUAGCCUGCCCAUCCCUUCCUCCUUCUCUCCGUCGCAUCCUGCACCUGCCCACCCACCGUCCUACUUACAGGAGAGUCUGUUCUCAUCUGAAUCCAAAUAAAACUUCAGGCCAUCAACA
RNAcentral lists this long non-coding RNA (948 nucleotides) under Anser cygnoides (Swan goose). RNAcentral's name for it is "lncRNA (ENSACDG00005009467.1)". The record is from RNAcentral. Lineage: Eukaryota; Metazoa; Chordata; Aves; Anseriformes; Anatidae.